AGUUCCCCGUUGGAAAAGGUGAUGAGUGCGAGGACCACCAGAUCGGCAAGAGAUUCCCCGUGGGUGCUGUGUGGAGCAGCCGUAACUCGGGCUGCAAGCAGAGCCACUGCAUCAAGGAGAACGGUACUCUCUACAUCGACCGCUUCCAGUGCCCCCAGGUGCGGAAGCGGGUGGACUUCCAGAAGCUGAAGGCGGACAACCUGUUCUGCAGAGAGGCCGUGGGAGACCGCAGGAAGGCAUUUCCGGACUGCUGUCCCCGCCUUGUGUGUAAACACUACGUUAAGGGCAAGCUGGUCGCUCUCCCUGAGGACAAGUACCCUUUUCUCUGAGCGCAGUUGAUGGCGUGCGGUAACAUUGAAAUAACGACUUGAUUGUGAUACGAUGGUGAUAGUUCUAGCUGCCGGAGACAGUCGCAAACCUGAUACGUUAUAGUUAUCAGUAGUUUUUUUUCACGAAACAGUAGUUUUGUGGAAUGGUACCACCAGUGCCUGUAGCGUAGCUUUGUGGCGCUUUGUUUCG
Pollicipes pollicipes is the source of this 519-nucleotide long non-coding RNA. RefSeq lists it as uncharacterized. The record is from RefSeq and is a predicted model, not a curated record. The transcript is spliced from 3 exons. Lineage: Eukaryota; Metazoa; Arthropoda; Thecostraca; Pollicipedomorpha; Pollicipedidae.